Talpa occidentalis (Iberian mole) is the source of this 552-nucleotide long non-coding RNA. RefSeq lists it as uncharacterized. The transcript has 4 exons. Lineage: Eukaryota; Metazoa; Chordata; Mammalia; Eulipotyphla; Talpidae. The record is from RefSeq and is a predicted model, not a curated record.
AAUAGCACAUGUCCUGAGAGGAAGCCAAGGCCCAAAAGUGUUUGUUUCUUUGUCCUUGUCCACAGUCACUUUGGAAACUUUAUCCUGCAGGUUCCACCUCUCCCCAAAGUAUAAACCUAAACCACUCUGUCUGGACUUUCCAAAUCAGCAAGAGAGAAGGACUCUACAUGUUCAGAAUCCCUGCCUUGCCCUGAGGAGAGGUAGCUCUACAGAAGAAUCUCCAUUGUUGCUCAAGCAGGAAACAUCCUGAUGUUCAACAGAAGGUGGCUGUGGAGAUUCUCUUGGGAGAAAGUGACCAACAAGCACAGGAUAGGACUCUGGGAGGACAAAGCAGUAAGCUGCAGGCUCAACUGAGAAAGAAUAUUGACCUUCAUGUCUUCUUCCACCAGGUUUUGCAACUCAAGACAUUCUUUCUUUCUAUGAAUUUUAAGCUUUUGGAUAUGCUUUUUGUUUUAUUACCUGGGAGACCAGAUUGCUUUAUGAAUUUUAAGAAUAUGACAGUACUAACACUUGAGCAAAGUUAUGCUGUGAAAAAAAAUCAAACUCCUUUAA